UGGGGAAUUUUGGAUAAUGGGGGAAACCCUGAUCCAGCCAUCCCGCGCGUGCGAUGAAGGCCUUCGGGUUGUAAAGCACUUUUUGCAGGAAAGAAACGUCAUGGGUUAAUACCCCGUGAAACUGACGGUACCUGCAGAAUAAGCACCGGCUAACUACGUGCCAGCAGCCGCGGUAAUACGUAGGGUGCAAGCGUUAAUCGGAAUUACUGGGCGUAAAGCGUGCGCAGGCGGUUCGGAAAGAAAGAUGUGAAAUCCCAGAGCUCAACUUUGGAACUGCAUUUUUAACUACCGGGCUAGAGUGUGUCAGAGGGAGGUGGAAUUCCGCGUGUAGCAGUGAAAUGCGUAGAUAUGCGGAGGAACACCGAUGGCGAAGGCAGCCUCCUGGGAUAACACUGACGCUCAUGCACGAAAGCGUGGGGAGCAAACAGG
RNAcentral lists this ribosomal RNA (429 nucleotides) under Acidobacteriota bacterium. RNAcentral describes it as "Acidobacteria bacterium partial 16S ribosomal RNA". It matches the Rfam family "Bacterial small subunit ribosomal RNA", at positions 355 to 776 of the family's 1533-position model. The record is from RNAcentral. Lineage: Bacteria; Pseudomonadati; Acidobacteriota.